UACGUAGGGUGCAAGCGUUGUCCGGAAUUAUUGGGCGUAAAGAGCUCGUAGGCGGUUUGUCGCGUCUGCUGUGAAAACUGGAGGCUCAACCUCCAGCCUGCAGUGGGGUACGGGCAGACUAGAGUGCGGUAGGGGAGAUUGGAAUUCCUGGUGUAGCGGUGGAAUGCGCAGAUAUCAGGAGGAACACCGAUGGCGAAGGCAGAUCUCUGGGCCGUAACUGACGCUGAGGAGCGAAAGCAUGGGGAGCGAACAGG
RNAcentral lists this ribosomal RNA (254 nucleotides) under uncultured bacterium. RNAcentral describes it as "partial 16S ribosomal RNA". It matches the Rfam family "Bacterial small subunit ribosomal RNA", at positions 524 to 776 of the family's 1533-position model. The record is from RNAcentral.